Cymbomonas tetramitiformis is the source of this 77-nucleotide non-coding RNA. Lineage: Eukaryota; Viridiplantae; Chlorophyta; Pyramimonadophyceae; Pyramimonadales; Pyramimonadaceae. The record is from the annotation of a GenBank genome assembly.
CCACCCAUAGCUCAACUGGAUAGAGCACUCGCACAUUGAUAUGCGAGAGGUUCCGAGUUCAACUCUCGGUGGGUGGC